Molecule: ribosomal RNA, 446 nt
Filed under: uncultured bacterium
Lineage: Bacteria
Description: SSU rRNA
Rfam family: Bacterial small subunit ribosomal RNA
Source: RNAcentral
AGAACGAACGCUGGCGGCAUGCCUAACACAUGCAAGUCGAACGAGACCUUCGGGUCUAGUGGCGCACGGGUGCGUAACGCGUGGGAAUCUGCCCUUGGGUUCGGGAUAACAGUUGGAAACGACUGCUAAUACCGAAUGAUAUCUUCGGAUCAAAGAUUUAUCGCCCAGGGAUGAGCCCGCGUAGGAUUAGCUUGUUGGUGAGGUAAGAGCUCACCAAGGCGACGAUCCUUAGCUGGUCUGAGAGGAUGAUCAGCCACACUGGGACUGAGACACGGCCCAGACUCCUACGGGAGGCAGCAGUGGGGAAUAUUGGACAAUGGGCGAAAGCCUGAUCCAGCAAUGCCGCGUGAGUGAUGAAGGCCUUAGGGUUGUAAAGCUCUUUUACCCGGGAUGAUAAUGACAGUACCGGGAGAAUAAGCCCCGGCUAACUCCGUGCCAGCAGCCGC